AACGAACGCUGGCGGCGCGCCUAAUACAUGCAAGUCGAGCGAGAAGGUGUAGCAAUACACUUGUAAAGCGGCGAACGGGUGAGGAAUACAUGGGUAACCUACCCUCGAGUGGGGAAGUAACUAGCCGAAGGUUAGCUAAUACCGCGUACGCUUCCGGGACUGCGGUUCCGGAAGGAAAGCGAUACUGUGAGUAUCGCGCUCUUGGAUGGGCUCAUGUCCUAUCAGCUUGUUGGUGAGGUAACGGCUCACCAAGGCUUCGACGGGUAGCUGGCCUGAGAGGACGAUCAGCCACACUGGCACUGCGACACGGGCCAGACUCCUACGGGAGGCAGCAGUAAGGAAUAUUGCGCAAUGGACGACAGUCUGACGCAGCGACGCCGCGGUGGGGGACGGAAGGUACGUUCGG
Molecule: ribosomal RNA, 406 nt
Filed under: uncultured bacterium
Lineage: Bacteria
Description: bacterial SSU rRNA
Rfam family: Bacterial small subunit ribosomal RNA
Source: RNAcentral